Molecule: ribosomal RNA, 438 nt
Filed under: uncultured bacterium
Lineage: Bacteria
Description: partial 16S ribosomal RNA
Rfam family: Bacterial small subunit ribosomal RNA
Source: RNAcentral
CUACGGGUCGCUCCAGUGGGGAAUAUUGCACAAUGGAGGAAACUCUGAUGCAGCAACGCCGCGUGGAGGAUGACACUUUUCGGAUCGUAAACUCCUUUUAUAUAGGAAGAAGAUGACGGUACUAUAUGAAUAAGCGCCGGCUAACUCCGUGCCAGCAGCCGCGGUAAUACGGAGGGCGCAAGCGUUACUCGGAAUCACUGGGCGUAAGAGCGUGUAGGCGGAUUAAAAAGUCAGAAGUGAAAUCCUAUAGCUUAACUAUAGAACUGCUUCUGAAACUCUUAAUCUAGAAUAUGGGAGAGGUAGAUGGAAUUUCUGGUGUAGGGGUAAAAUCCGUAGAGAUCAGAAGGAAUACCGAUUGCGAAGGCGAUCUACUAGAACAUUAUUGACGCUGAGACGCGAAAGCGUGGGGAGCAAACAGGAUUAGAUACCCCCGUAGUC